This 133-nucleotide small nucleolar RNA is filed under the name Monopterus albus (swamp eel). RNAcentral's name for it is "U8 small nucleolar RNA (ENSMALG00000014331.1)". It matches the Rfam family "U8 small nucleolar RNA". Rfam says of the family: U8 is a member of the C/D class of snoRNA which contain the C (UGAUGA) and D (CUGA) box motifs. U8 is the RNA component of a small complex (the U8 snoRNP) which is required for accumulation of mature large subunit ribosomal RNAs, 5.8S and 28S rRNAs. U8 RNA has been identified in human, mouse, rat and Xenopus. The record is from RNAcentral. Lineage: Eukaryota; Metazoa; Chordata; Actinopteri; Synbranchiformes; Synbranchidae.
UCUUCAGUGAGGUAUAUCCUUACCUGUUGCUCCUUCAAUGGAGUUACAGAACAUGAUGAGUGGAGUUUCAUGAGAUAUGAUUAAUAUCUCCAUCUUGCAGGGAACAGCAACACCCUGUGAGACCCAUUCUGAU